UGCAGUCGAACGAUGAUCUCCAGCUUGCUGGGGGGAUUAGUGGCGAACGGGUGAGUAACACGUGAGUAACCUGCCCUUGACUCUGGGAUAAGCCUGGGAAACUGGGUCUAAUACCGGAUACGACCGCUCCACGCAUGUGGUGGUGGUGGAAAGCUUUUGCGGUUUUGGAUGGACUCGCGGCCUAUCAGCUUGUUGGUGGGGUAAUGGCCUACCAAGGCGACGACGGGUAGCCGGCCUGAGAGGGUGACCGGCCACACUGGGACUGAGACACGGCCCAGACUCCUACGGGAGGCAGCAGUGGGGAAUAUUGCACAAUGGGCGCAAGCCUGAUGCAGCGACGCCGCGUGAGGGAUGACGGCCUUCGGGUUGUAAACCUCUUUCAGUAGGGAAGAAGCGAAAGUGACGGUACCUGCAGAAGAAGCGCCGGCUAACUACGUGCCAGCAGCCGCGGUAAUACGUAGGGCGCAAGCGUUAUCCGGAAUUAUUGGGCGUAAAGAGCUCGUAGGCGGUUUGUCGCGUCUGCUGUGAAAGACCGGGGCUCAACUCCGGUUCUGCAGUGGGUACGGGCAGACUAGAGUGAUGUAGGGGAGACUGGAAUUCCUGGUGUAGCGGUGAAAUGCGCAGAUAUCAGGAGGAACACCGAUGGCGAAGGCAGGUCUCUGGGCAUUAACUGACGCUGAGGAGCGAAAGCAUGGGGAGCGAACAGGAUUAGAUACCCUGGUAGUCCAUGCCGUAAACGUUGGGCACUAGGUGUGGGGGACAUUCCACGUUUUCCGCGCCGUAGCUAACGCAUUAAGUGCCCCGCCUGGGGAGUACGGCCGCAAGGCUAAAACUCAAAGGAAUUGACGGGGGCCCGCACAAGCGGCGGAGCAUGCGGAUUAAUUCGAUGCAACGCGAAGAACCUUACCAAGGCUUGACAUGAACCGGUAACGCCUGGAAACAGGUGCCCCGCUUGCGGUCGGUUUACAGGUGGUGCAUGGUUGCCGUCAGCUCGUGUCGUGAAAUGUUGGGUUAAGUCCCGCAACGAGCGCAACCCUCGUUCUAUGUUGCC
This 1051-nucleotide ribosomal RNA is filed under the name Arthrobacter sp. RNAcentral's name for it is "bacterial SSU rRNA". It matches the Rfam family "Bacterial small subunit ribosomal RNA", at positions 56 to 1119 of the family's 1533-position model. Lineage: Bacteria; Bacillati; Actinomycetota; Actinomycetes; Micrococcales; Micrococcaceae. The record is from RNAcentral.